This 852-nucleotide ribosomal RNA is filed under the name Dactylogyrus titus. RNAcentral's name for it is "eukaryotic LSU rRNA". It matches the Rfam family "Eukaryotic large subunit ribosomal RNA", at positions 21 to 657 of the family's 3401-position model. The record is from RNAcentral. Lineage: Eukaryota; Metazoa; Platyhelminthes; Monogenea; Dactylogyridea; Dactylogyridae.
UUACCCGGUGAAAUUAAGCAUAUCAGUAAGCGGAGGAAGAGAAACUAACCAGGAUUCUCCUAGUAACGGCGAGUGAACGGAGAUUAGCCCAUCACCGAAGUCUAUCCGUUCUUGCGGACAGGACAAUGUGGUGUUGAGGCGUGCCCCUGGGAGCGCUUGCCUACUCGAAGUCCAUCUCCGAUUCUGGCUUGGACAAUGCCCAUAGCGGGUGAAAGGCCCGUGCGGGUAGGCGUUGAUGUAUUGAGCGCUCCUCAGAUGUGCAUGCCCUCGAGUCGGAUUGCUUGAGAAUGCAGUCCAAAGCGGGUGGUAAACUCCAUCCAAGGCUAAAUACUGGCGCGAGUCCGAUAGUAGACAAGUACCGUGAGGGAAAGUUGAAAAGUACUCUGAAGAGAGAGUAAAUAGCACGUGAAGCCGCUUGCAGGGAAGCUGGUGGAGUCAAGCUUCUUGUCUUGGCGAUUGCCAUGAGAGUCGUGUGUGACGGGACGUGACGCUGGUGAGCCUGGAAACGGCCUGGUGCAGUAACAUGCAUUUCAAGUCGCUCUGGGAUGAGUGUUUGUGCCGGCGUCUAUCUCCCCUCUCUCCUGGUUUAUCGCCUCUGACAUACAUCACGGUCGAUGGGCUGUGUGCUGUGUGAGCGCUUAACUGUGUCUCUGUGGGCUUAAUCGUCUGCUGGGCAUCGAAGGGCAGAAGGCGCGUGCAGGCCUCGGCCUGUACUGUGCGUAUUGUGGUUUUGACCUGCCAGCGCUCAUGUACAGUAUCCAGUGCAUCGUUCUUAAGUGACGCGCCCUCCUCGGAGUGCGCGUCGGUGAGAACCGUGAUGCUGAGGUAGACCUUCCACCCGACCCGUCUUGA